Molecule: long non-coding RNA, 1273 nt
Filed under: Sus scrofa (pig)
Lineage: Eukaryota; Metazoa; Chordata; Mammalia; Artiodactyla; Suidae
Description: lncRNA (ENSSSCG00040063662.1)
Source: RNAcentral
CAGCAUUUCUAUUGGAAGCCUUCAUUUUAAGGCUGUGUAACUCAACUCAGCUGAAAUAUGGUAUAUAAAGUUUCAGUGUCAUUGCCAUUUUUUCUGCAUUCUGAAUCACAAAACCCCACUUUUUUCAUAUGUGGACAUUAAUCUAAAGCAGAAGUCAGUAAUUGCCAAUGCUAUCAAAUUUUAUUCCAUCUGAAUAAGAUGAUAUUUCCUAAGAAAUCAAGGCCACCAACACUAAGGAGCAUGGAUAAAUAGAUUUUUGUGAUUCUGCUCGAUAUCAGUGUUUUGGUCAAAUAUAAUGUGUAGGUGGAUCCUGUAAUACCGGCUUUCAAGUCAUUUGGAGGAAAAUAAUUAUGCCUGGGGCACUGGAAAAAUUUCAAUUUUGAGCUAGAGAUGUGAAAGUAUUAACAAUCCCGCCUACUGAGAUGAACUAUCUACUGUGACAUUUAAAACUAGCCUAUUCAUUUCUAUUCUUUAUGGGCUAGAUGUCUAUUUCAGGAAUUUAUGGCAAACAUCUGAUCCAAAAGUAGUUAUGUUCUUGACAACAAAAAGUGAUAAAGAAGCUGUAGAGAGCAAUGAAAAUUGAUGGGGAUAGAGAGUGAUAAACAGCAAAAGAGACCCAUUAGGGGCCGAAUGAUUGGUAAAGCCUGAGGAGAAGGACUCAGAGGUAAAUUGGAGUGCAGGUUGUUCAUUUCACAGGUGCAAUCAGCCAGUUCUUACCCACUAUUUCUGGUCUGUUUGAAAUUGAAAUCUGAAGGCAACUUAUUAGAGUUUGGGUCUGACGUCAUUCUGCACUUGUGAGAGGAAAAGAUGGACCGUGACUCCUGUGUUUAGGGAACUCAAUGGAAUAAAAUCAGCAAGUUUCUAGGUCUCUCCCAGAGGUGGCAUAUUCUCUCCUUAAACUCAGAGGAGCGGGAAUUUAAUCACCAUUGAUUCCAUUUGUAGAUACUAAUUAUGAAGAUAUAUGAGAAAGCUGCAUGUUUAUUAAACCAGUGAAGAGAUUCUCAGGUUCAAGGAUGAAGAAAGAUACUCUGAAUGGAAAAGGAGGGAAAAAAAGGAAGACAACAUGGCUGAACUAUUUUGAUACAAUCAUGAGUCAAAAAAAAAAAAAAAGGAGAUACAAUGAUGGGUGCUCAAGAUAAGUGUUUUGGGAGAAGAUUCAUAACUAAUAGAUUUUUUUUUCCUACUGAAAUACUGUGAUCAUGGUAUGUGGUGCUGUUCCUUUACCACACAUGUUUUCAAUAAAAUGACAAGAGCAUUUAUUUGGUAAAUGGAC